UGGGGAAUAUUGCACAAUGGGCGAAAGCCUGAUGCAGCGACGCCGCGUGAGGGAUGACGGCCUUCGGGUUGUAAACCUCUUUCAGCAGGGACGAAGCGCAAGUGACGGUACCUGCAGAAGAAGCACCGGCUAACUACGUGCCAGCAGCCGCGGUAAUACGUAGGGUGCAAGCGUUGUCCGGAAUUACUGGGCGUAAAGAGUUCGUAGGCGGUUUGUCGCGUCGUUUGUGAAAACCAGCAGCUCAACUGCUGGCUUGCAGGCGGUACGGGCAGACUUGAGUACUGCAGGGGAGACUGGAAUUCCUGGUGUAGCGGUGAAAUGUGCAGAUAUCAGGAGGAACACCGGUGGCGAAGGCGGGUCUCUGGGCAGUAACUGACGCUGAGGAACGAAAGCGUGGGUAGCGAACAGG
This 409-nucleotide ribosomal RNA is filed under the name bacterium. RNAcentral describes it as "partial 16S ribosomal RNA". It matches the Rfam family "Bacterial small subunit ribosomal RNA", at positions 355 to 776 of the family's 1533-position model. The record is from RNAcentral.